AACAGUGGCUGUCAAGAGAUGAGAUCUGGAUGGUAAGCUGAUGGAACGAGAAUGAGCACUAACUUUUGUGGUUGCAAUUGAGGCUGCCAUUUUUAUUUGCAGGAGGAAUUAGAUGCCAAUGAAAAUCCUGAACUCAAGGUUUGUUUGAUUGAACUCUCACCUUGGCACCUUUUUAUAAACUAUGAGGAGACAAAAGGAAUCAACUUAAUUUCCUUCAUGUGCCGAACAGAGAAACAGGCCAAGUAUCAGAAAAUGCAGAUCUCAAUUGUAGCAGUGUCUGUGGGAGGAGGAACAUUUGCUUGGCACAAAAUAAUAUAAUAUGCAAGAAACCAGGCUGGCGUUCAUCUGCAAAUUUUGGUAAGUUUUCUAAUAUGAAAACAAGUUAAGACCAGGGGUAUAAUUUUGC
This 406-nucleotide long non-coding RNA is filed under the name Daucus carota (carrot). RNAcentral's name for it is "long non-coding RNA (DCAR_LNC003394)". Lineage: Eukaryota; Viridiplantae; Streptophyta; Magnoliopsida; Apiales; Apiaceae. The record is from RNAcentral.